Schistosoma mattheei is the source of this 45-nucleotide non-coding RNA. The record is from Rfam. NCBI's taxonomy places the organism in Eukaryota, Metazoa, Platyhelminthes, Trematoda, Strigeidida, Schistosomatidae.
AUCCAGCUGACGAGUCCUUAGCAGGACGAAACGCGCGUCCUGGAU